AGGAGGUGCGGAAGAAGAAGAGGAAGAGGAGGAAGAGGAGGAAGGCAGAAGAGAAUCAAUCGAGAACAUAGUCGGGUCUGUCCAAAAUCGGCGGAAUAAUGUUUCUGCGUAUCGACAGGAUCGUGCGUUCGGGGAUCUUGUUUCUGUUGUGCAUCGAGUCGAGCUUUCAGCAGGAGGAAGAUAUACCCCAUAACGAAGUCAAAAACUGGGCCUUGAAGUUUGGAGUGGAUUUAUGGGAAUUUGGUAAGCAAGUGACCAAAAUGGGCGAAAUACAGAGGAAUUAUUAUAAGGUCGAGGCGAAUCUCAUUAAAAGGGACGGCUUGGUACUGGUCAGAGAAAUGGCUGCUGAAGUUAAAAAUAUGAUGGAUUUCAAAAUGAACGCUGUUAUGAGACUAAUGGAAAAUGCGGAACAGGCUGCAGUUUCGCCGCCAAGGGAUGCUAACAUUUUGCCUAAAUAUUCUUCCUAUCGUUAUAAUCUUUUUACGACUGAUGGCAAAAAGUCUUCCGAUUCUCGAGAAAUCUAUCUAAAUACGCAUCAUCAUUUCGAUUGGUUGGCAGUAAACGUUUCUUUAUCGUCCGUUCUCGUACCGGGUGAAAUUGAUGAAACAGAAAGCGACGUAGCUGCAGGCAUUCUAUGGAGCGAAUAUUUGGAUCCUCUUUUCAUCAAUAAUUAUGAAAGCGAUCCUUCCUUAUCGUGGCAGUACUAUGGUGCAACGUCAGGAUUUUUGAGACGUUUUCCUGCAAUAACGUGGCCACCGGUAGAAGGAGUAUUUGGUUCUAACCAAAAAGCACCCUUAGUCCUUUCGAAUCCUGUAUUCCGGCACGUGUACGACUUUAGGACUUCCAAUUGGUUCGUCGGUGCUGCCAAUAGUCCUAAAGAUUUAGCUAUUUUAAUCGACACUAUGGGAUAUGACAGCGAACGGAAUGAAAAAUUGCUAAUCGCUACGACCAAAGCUAUAUUGGAUACGUUAGGUCCUGACGAUUACGUCAACGUUUAUCGAUACGGCGAGACAGCUGAGGAAAUCGUUCAGUGUUUCAAGGAUAGUCUGGUUCAAGCUUCGCCAGAAAACAUACAGGAACUCAAGUCAGCUAUGAAUACAUUGAAACACGAGGAAAGUACUAAGAACAUAUCCGCGGCCUUGAGUACGGCCUUUGAAAUCCUUCACAAGUACAACAGAACCGGUCAGGGCAGUCAAUGUAAUCAAGCGAUCAUCUUGAUAACAACCGACAACGAAGCUCCUCCUACGGAAGUGAUCAGAAGGUAUAACUGGCCACACAUGCCAGUUAGAUUAUUUGCUUACCUUAUUGGCGGUGACAAGAGUCCGGAACUCUUUGACAUGGCUUGCACCAACAAAGGAUAUUACGCGAGAAUUACUAAACCGGAAGAGAUUAAAAGUAAAGUUUUCGAAUAUGUUAAAGUACUUGCACGGCCUAUGGUGCUUUAUCAGCACGAUCAUCCUAUACAUUGGAGUCCGGCUUACAUUGGCGGAAAAAGUAAAAGAUUCGGUAGAGAAAAUCACGGACAAUUGAUGACAUCCGUCACUGCUCCGAUUUUGGAUCGUCGAAAUCAUACGUUAAAAAGAGCUAAUUUAUUGGGCGUCGUUGGUACCGACGUUCCUGUCGAAGAAAUACAAAAACUGGUACCACCUUACAAGUUGGGAGUCAAUGGAUACUCCUUUAUCGUUGACAAUAACGGUCGUGUCUUGUAUCAUCCGGACCUGCGUCCAUUGCCAGAAAAUUCAGAUUACGAAGAGACACUAAAGCCUACGUACAUAAGCGUAGAUUUAUCGGAAGUUGAACUAGCGGAAUACGACGGACCCUCGCACCCUUUGAAUAAUUCACUUCUUUUAGAUUUGAGGCACGAUAUGAUCGAUCAGAAAGAAGGGGAGAUCGGCUUUAGCGUGAAAAUUCAUUACGAUGACAUGAAAAGAGUGACGAUCAGACGACACAAUUAUUUUUACAAGCCGAUAGAGGGUACACCGUUUUCAUUAGGUUUGGCUUUACCCGAAGGGUAUGGCAUGUUCGAACUCCUUGCCGAACAAGAGAUCAAGCACAUGGCAGUCAAUGCGACCGAAUACUUUAAAGGUAAUAAUUGGAAAGUACAUCCAGAUUGGGUGUAUUGCGAAUAUAAUUCGGCAUCGAGCAAGACGUUCAUUUCCCCGGAGGAACGCAUAAUACACUUUUUAUCGCGUACGAAAAAACCCGCGUGGAAGUGGAUGUCCUUGAGACCAAGGAGUCCAAGCUCGCACCAUAAGCAAGCGAGCAAGCCAGAGAAGGACUCUCAUUACUGUGACAAGGGAUUAAUUCAAUCCUUAAUUUUGGACGCUAUCGUAACGGAUGGGUUUGAUAAAAGAGGAAAUUCGAUGCACAAAGAAGAGAAUACAAACCCUAUUGCCAUACUGAUGGCUCUACUGCACAGCAAAGGCAGGGGUAGAUUUGGGGUUAUCAGAAGUUUUGUCGCAACUAGGAGUGGACUUUUUCGUUGGCACGAACAUCAACAGAGUUAUGAAAAAACAGAGGAGCCUUGGUUUCCCGAACAAUACUCAAGAGCUAUGGAGUCUUCUUGGUAUAAACGUGCAGUCGAUCAACACUCCAUCGAACCGGAAAGUUUCGUUUUCAGCGUUCCAUUCGAUGCUGCCGAAAAACCGAAUCCUCUGGUCACUGCAACGCAUGCUAUUUUUAUUGGUAAAGGACAUAAAGCACCGGCUGCAGUCGUAGGAUUGCAAUUUCAACAUUCCUCUUUGGCAUCCCAUUUCGUUAACAUAACGUCAACUUGUACAGCUGGAACGACUGGCUGUAAGAAAAACUGCGGAUCGGAGGAACUCGAUUGUUAUAUUCUUGACAAUAGCGGAUUUGUCGUUAUAAGCGAAAGGCACGAACAUACUGGGAAAUUUUUUGGCGAGAUAGAUGGUACCAUAAUGGAUUCCUUGGUACAGGAUAGGAUCUACAGGAAAGUAACCGUGAUCGAUUAUCAAGGGACUUGUAGUCCUCAAGAAAGUCAUCGUUCUUCGGCACCAAGAACUACAUCAGCUUCCAUCUUGAAAGGCACCGCACUUCUUGGAAAUUUCAUUUGGAAUCUCUUUUUGAGUUUCAACGUUCAAGACAUUUGGCGUACGGUAGUGGCUUUUGCCAAAGACGCUGCUCAUUCCAUGCAAAACGAUGACGAUCUGAUAUUAUCCGACACCGAGAUCGAAAUUGAUUCGAAUAUCGAUGAUACCGAUGAACUAAGCAGCGAACUGAAUAAUCUCGAAUCGAUAGCACCCGCGGAAUCGACCGCGGAAUCGGUUGUUCCAGGAAAAGAAGAUUUUUCGGAAAUACCAGUAGCAGCUGCGAUACCCGUUUCACCGCCUACUACUCGUGCCACCUCUGCCCACUUUCCACCGCGCAAAUUAAGAUCUUGCGAAAAGAAGACGGAUCUUUAUAUUUUGCAACCCGAAAGAUUAAAUACCAGCGGACAAAGUAAUCCGCUCAAAGGGAAAUUAACGAAUUGUCAUGUUACGGGUUGCGAAAGGCCUUUCAGCGUGCAAAAAAUACGUCACACGAAUUUAAUCCUCCUCGUGGUAGACACGUUGUGUCCAUGCGGUAACAAACAACUCAGUAUCGAGCCCAUAGAAGCUAUGACGGAACCAGGUGCUUGCACGGCGAGAAGAGAACGACUUUACCGAAGAAGGCCGCCAAAAUGUAUUAAUUAUCAUCCAGAAGAGAUGGAAAUCAAGAUUUGCGGUGGCGCAACCCUGACGCAACUUGCUCGAUCGACGCAAAUCGUAUUCUUAUUAACGACCAUCUUGCUCGUCAGGUUGGCGUGACUCUCCAAUUAAAGCACACGCGCACGCUAAUUCACAAAUAUCAAUGAACAAAAUGAUGAACAAAUUGUCUAAGCGAGUCAUUAUUAUUAUAUGAGCGGUCUAC
Molecule: unclassified non-coding RNA, 3909 nt
Filed under: Polistes dominula (European paper wasp)
Lineage: Eukaryota; Metazoa; Arthropoda; Insecta; Hymenoptera; Vespidae
Description: voltage-dependent calcium channel subunit alpha- 2/delta-3, transcript variant X2
Source: RNAcentral